UUAUAGGUGAGAAUGUUAUCAGUGAAUCAGAAACAUCUACACCUAAACCUGCUCUGUGUAAUAAUUCAGUGGUGCAUGAAGCAACACUGCAUGGAAACAGCACCAACAUCAGCUCACAAAAUAAAACAGUAUAGGAAUUGAUCAGAUCUCUACAUUGGACAGUGCUCGGUUUGGGAUCGGCUUUGGGUUUCUGCGCACUUCUGAUUAUCUUCCUCACUUAUUUUCUAUGGAGGAGAACAAAAAGUGAUAAAAUUAACACUUUUACAGAAAACUUAAGUGCAGGAACGAGGCAGGAAAAUGAAGCAGAAAUGCUGAACUAUGCAGCCGUGAAAUUCUCCCAGAAGAAAACCAAACCUGAAAAAAGAAGAAAUGGAUCAUCAGAUACGACAGAGUGUGUUUACUCCAUUGUGAAUAAAACUGUAAGAUAAAAGUUAAGUGAUUUAUAGUUCUUGGUAUUAUUACACUGCAAAAGUAAAAGGUAAAAGAAUUUUGCAAGUUGAAAUAUCUUGACUACACACUAAUUUAUUCCAGAUUUUUCCGUAGGAAAUGAAAAGAUUAUUAAACAAAUCCAGAAGUAAAACUACAUCUAAAGACAAUAUUAUAUGUGUGUGCAAUAAUCCUGUAAUAAAAGUUAUUUAAAAUGUCUAUUUAAUUAUUUUUAGAAGUUUCCCAGCAGUGUAGCGAAACGUCUUCGCCACAGGUUUAAUGUCUUCACACAUGAUUAAAGUAAAUUGUGAUAUCUUUCAAAUAUCACAUUCAACUGUGU
Long non-coding RNA from Silurus meridionalis, 766 nucleotides. RefSeq lists it as uncharacterized. NCBI's taxonomy places the organism in Eukaryota, Metazoa, Chordata, Actinopteri, Siluriformes, Siluridae. The transcript is spliced from 4 exons. The record is from RefSeq and is a predicted model, not a curated record.